GGGUCAUAGGACUGCACUCUCCUACUCUGACAUGUUUGUAGUGUCUUGUCUGCUAGAGGGUCGAGCCCUUAACCUGCCACAUAUUAUGAUUCACUCUAUAGCAGACUCCCUUAGGCUGAGUCGAGGUUGUCUCCCCUUUGGCCGUCAUCUCACUCUUCUUCUUCGAGCUCUAGGGGUUGACCCAGGUACCGAGUAUGCUUUACCCUUGUCCAGUGAGUAUACCCCCUACACUGAGGCUACCCUCUACCACAUGGGUUUGACUAGGAGAGGCAAUGUUUUUUAUAAUUCUAGGAGAGAUUUUGCAGCCCGCAGAGCAGCACAUGCAGCAGCAC
Molecule: long non-coding RNA, 332 nt
Filed under: Manihot esculenta (cassava)
Lineage: Eukaryota; Viridiplantae; Streptophyta; Magnoliopsida; Malpighiales; Euphorbiaceae
Description: long non-coding RNA (MESC_LNC013161)
Source: RNAcentral